This 491-nucleotide ribosomal RNA is filed under the name uncultured bacterium. Its description in RNAcentral is "partial 16S ribosomal RNA". It matches the Rfam family "Bacterial small subunit ribosomal RNA", at positions 29 to 506 of the family's 1533-position model. The record is from RNAcentral.
AGUGAACGCUGGCGGUAGGCCUAACACAUGCAAGUCGAACGGCAGCACAGUAAGAGCUUGCUCUUACGGGUGGCGAGUGGCGGACGGGUGAGGAAUACAUCGGAAUCUACUUUUUCGUGGGGGAUAACGUAGGGAAACUUACGCUAAUACCGCAUACGACCUACGGGUGAAAGCAGGGGAUCUUCGGACCUUGCGCGAUUGAAUGAGCCGAUGUCGGAUUAGCUAGUUGGCGGGGUAAAGGCCCACCAAGGCGACGAUCCGUAGCUGGUCUGAGAGGAUGAUCAGCCACACUGGAACUGAGUCACGGUCCAGACUCCUACGGGAGGCAGCAGUGGGGAAUAUUGGACAAUGGGCGCAAGCCUGAUCCAGCCAUACCGCGUGGGUGAAGAAGGCCUUCGGGUUGUAAAGCCCUUUUGUUGGGAAAGAAAAGCAGCAGGUUAAGACCCCGCUGUUCUGACGGUACCCAAAGAAUAAGCACCGGCUAACUUCGU